Molecule: ribosomal RNA, 453 nt
Filed under: Allobates gasconi
Lineage: Eukaryota; Metazoa; Chordata; Amphibia; Anura; Aromobatidae
Description: partial large subunit ribosomal RNA
Rfam family: Bacterial large subunit ribosomal RNA
Source: RNAcentral
AAAGCUAUACUGUCUCCUUUGUCCAAUCAGUUAAACUAAUCUCCCCGUGAAGAAGCGGGGAUAUACCUAUAAGACGAGAAGACCCUGUGGAGCUUUAAACACCUUAAAACAUUUGUCAUUCUACUUCACAACUUCCAGAAAACUUUACUAAACCCAACACUCUGUUUUAGGUUUUAGGUUGGGGUGACCACGGAGUAAAACUUAACCUCCACGUAGAAAGAAACUCCCUUUCUAAGCAAAAAGCUACAUCUUUAUGCAUCAAAAUAUUGACUUAAAUUGACCCAAUUAUUUGAUCAACGAACCAAGUUACCCUAGGGAUAACAGCGCAAUCCGCUUUAAGAGCUCCUAUCGACAAGCGGGCUUACGACCUCGAUGUUGGAUCAGGGCAUCCCAGUGGUGCAGAAGCUACUAAUGGUUCGUUUGUUCAACGAUUAAAGCCCUACGUGAUCUGAG